This 253-nucleotide ribosomal RNA is filed under the name uncultured bacterium. Its description in RNAcentral is "partial 16S ribosomal RNA". It matches the Rfam family "Bacterial small subunit ribosomal RNA", at positions 524 to 776 of the family's 1533-position model. The record is from RNAcentral.
UACGGAGGGUGCAAGCGUUAUCCGGAUUCACUGGGUUUAAAGGGCGCGUAGGCGGAUAGGUAAGUCCGUGGUGAAAUCCUGCAGCUUAACUGCAGAACUGCCGUGGAUACUAUCUAUCUUGAAUGUCGUGGAGGUUAGCGGAAUAUGUCAUGUAGCGGUGAAAUGCUUAGAUAUGACAUAGAACACCCAUUGCGAAGGCAGCUAACUACGCGAUAAUUGACGCUGAUGCACGAAAGCGUGGGGAUCAAACAGG